This 845-nucleotide ribosomal RNA is filed under the name Pleurodonte discolor. Its description in RNAcentral is "partial 16S ribosomal RNA". The stretch from base 354 to 599 matches the Rfam family "Archaeal large subunit ribosomal RNA", at positions 1787 to 2143 of the family's 2987-position model. Lineage: Eukaryota; Metazoa; Mollusca; Gastropoda; Stylommatophora; Pleurodontidae. The record is from RNAcentral.
UGCAUAAUGGCUUAACAAGAUGAUGCUAUAUAACCUAACACGAAGAGAAGCGAGCUAAUUAACACAAGAGUAUUAGGCGUGUGCUUAGCGUGUAGCAUUACUCUAUUAAUAUGAUUAAUUAGGGGUGAAAGGCCUGUCAAGUUUCUGAAUAUCUUGAUGAAGGAGAAAUCUAUGUAGUAUAAGAUAAUCUGCGAGUGAUUAGAUUAGCAGAGCUAAUUAAAUAUAGUAUAGUUUGAAGUACAUUACUUAAUAGUAAAUAUAUAGACUCCGUAGUAUUAAUUGUACUGUUUUAUAGGUAUCUAUCCUUUACAACACAGUAUCUAUAAGGUGUUCUUUAACUGUUAAUAUUAGUAUAUUAUAAAUCCUCUUAAAGGAACUCGGCAAACUGCUAGCUCAACUGUUUAACAAAAACAUAACCAGGUGUAGCUGGAUACUUGGCGUUUUCUGCUCAAUGAAACUUAAAUAGCCGCAGUACCCUGACUGUGCAAAGGUAGCAUAAUCAGUUGGCUUAUAAUUGAAGUCUUGUAUGAAGGAAUAAAUGGGUUACAACUGUCUCUACAGAUAAAUAGCGAAUUUACUUAAUAAGUGAAAAUACUUAUAGUUUUUUAAAAGACGAGAAGACCCUAGAAAUUUUAAUAAAAGCUAUAAAGAGUUAUAUAUGAGUUUUUACUGGGGCGGUAAGGUAACAGAGAAACCUACGUUUAACUACUAAGAAGCUUAUUUUUAGGAAAAACAUAAUUACUCUAGGGAUAACAGCAUAAUUUUAGAAAGUUUGUGACCUCGAUGUUGGACUAGGGUUUACAAUGCUCAGAAGGCGUUGUUACUCGUUCUGUUCGAACGAUCUC